GCGCCAGACUCCUACGGGAGGCAGCAGUGGGGAAUAUUGCACAAUGGGGGAAACCCUGAUGCAGCGACGCCGCGUGAGCGAUGAAGUAUUUCGGUAUGUAAAGCUCUAUCAGCAGGGAAGAAAAUGACAGUACCUGACUAAGAAGCCCCGGCUAACUACGUGCCAGCAGCCGCGGUAAUACGUAGGGGGCAAGCGUUAUCCGGAUUUACUGGGUGUAAAGGGAGCGUAGACGGCUGCGCAAGUCAGAAGUGAAAGCCCGGGGCUCAACCGCGGGACUGCUUUUGAAACUGUAAAGCUGGAGUGCGGGAGGGGCAGGCGGAAUUCCUGGUGUAGCGGUGAAAUGCGUAGAUAUCAGGAGGAACACCGGCGGCGAAGGCGGCCUGCUGGACCGUAACUGACGUUGAGGCUCGAAAGCGUGGGGAGCAAACAGGAUUAGAUACCCCGGUAC
Molecule: ribosomal RNA, 448 nt
Filed under: uncultured bacterium
Lineage: Bacteria
Description: partial 16S ribosomal RNA
Rfam family: Bacterial small subunit ribosomal RNA
Source: RNAcentral